GAUGAACGCUGGCGGCGUGCUUAACACAUGCAAGUCGAACGAAGCACUUUAUUUGAUUUCCUUCGGGACUGUUUAUUUUGUGACUGAGUGGCGGACGGGUGAGUAACGCAUGGGUAACCUGCCUUGUACAGGGGGAUAACAGUUGGAAACGGCUGCUAAUACCGCAUAAGCGCACAGCAUCGCAUGAUGCAGUGUGAAAAACUCCGGUGGUAUAAGAUGGACCCGCGUUGGAUUAGCUAGUUGGUGAGGUAACGGCCCACCAAGGCGACGAUCCAUAGCCGACCUGAGAGGGUGACCGGCCACAUUGGGACUGAGACACGGCCCAAACUCCUACGGGAGGCAGCAGUGGGGAAUAUUGCACAAUGGGCGAAAGCCUGAUGCAGCGACGCCGCGUGAGCGAAGAAGUAUUUCGGUAUGUAAAGCUCUAUCAGCAGGGAAGAUAAUGACGGUACCUGACUAAGAAGCACCGGCUAAAUACGUG
RNAcentral lists this ribosomal RNA (481 nucleotides) under uncultured bacterium. Its description in RNAcentral is "partial 16S ribosomal RNA". It matches the Rfam family "Bacterial small subunit ribosomal RNA", at positions 28 to 507 of the family's 1533-position model. The record is from RNAcentral.